UUGUGGAAAUGUAAUUGGUGAUCAAUGAUUGAAGAGGUUUAAGGAAUAUAUAGAGGAUGAUUAUGUAACUAACUCGGGCAAGCUAUGAGGCAGGGGAGUUAGAAGUUAUAGUCAAUUUAGAUUGUUAGGGAUUGAAGAGGAAAUUAGUUGUGAUGAUUAACACUGUUAGAACUUUAUGUUAAUAAGUUGGACUGAAACGUGUCGCGCUGCAAAAAAUACAGAGUCAUCACCGGAUUUUAUUUAUUCCAAAGGAAAGGGAAAAU
RNAcentral lists this long non-coding RNA (263 nucleotides) under Lathyrus oleraceus (garden pea). RNAcentral describes it as "Pisum sativum (pea) long non-coding RNA (PSAT_LNC006693)". The record is from RNAcentral. Lineage: Eukaryota; Viridiplantae; Streptophyta; Magnoliopsida; Fabales; Fabaceae.